GCACCCGUAGCUCAGCUGGAUAGAGCGCUGCCCUCCGAAGGCAGAGGUCACUGGUUCGACUCCAGUCGGGUGCACCA
RNAcentral lists this transfer RNA (77 nucleotides) under Pseudomonadota bacterium. RNAcentral describes it as "tRNA-Arg". It matches the Rfam family "tRNA". From Rfam's summary of the family: Transfer RNA (tRNA) molecules are approximately 80 nucleotides in length. Their secondary structure includes four short double-helical elements and three loops (D, anti-codon, and T loops). Further hydrogen bonds mediate the characteristic L-shaped molecular structure. tRNAs have two regions of fundamental functional importance: the anti-codon, which is responsible for specific mRNA codon recognition, and the 3' end, to which the tRNAs corresponding amino acid is attached (by aminoacyl-tRNA synthetases). tRNAs cope with the degeneracy of the genetic code in two manners: having more than one tRNA (with a specific anti-codon) for a particular amino acid; and 'wobble' base-pairing, i.e. permitting non-standard base-pairing at the 3rd anti-codon position. Lineage: Bacteria; Pseudomonadati; Pseudomonadota. RNAcentral also lists the same sequence under 1 other name. The record is from RNAcentral.